Molecule: small RNA, 115 nt
Filed under: Caenorhabditis elegans
Lineage: Eukaryota; Metazoa; Nematoda; Chromadorea; Rhabditida; Rhabditidae
Description: Unclassified non-coding RNA E01A2.12
Source: RNAcentral
GGUGAAGCCUUUGUACACCUACAUGGAGAAGCUCGUCGAGACAUCCGAGAUCGCGUCAAUUGGAGUUUCCGAUUUCUCUGCUCGUCAACUUAAAACAAUUAUCGACCAUUUCGAC